UUUUAUUUGAGAGUUUGAUCCUGGCUCAGGAUGAACGCUGGCGGCGUGCCUAACACAUGCAAGUUGAGCGAUUUACUUCGGUAAAGAGCGGCGGACGGGUGAGUAACGCGUGGGUAACCUACCCUGUACACACGGAUAACAUACCGAAAGGUAUGCUAAUACGGGAUAAUAUAUUUGAGAGGCAUCUCUUAAAUAUCAAAGGUGAGCCAGUACAGGAUGGACCCGCGUCUGAUUAGCUAGUUGGUAAGGUAACGGCUUACCAAGGCGACGAUCAGUAGCCGACCUGAGAGGGUGAUCGGCCACAUUGGAACUGAGACACGGUCCAAACUCCUACGGGAGGCAGCAGUGGGGAAUAUUGCACAAUGGGCGAAAGCCUGAUGC
RNAcentral lists this ribosomal RNA (381 nucleotides) under Clostridioides difficile. RNAcentral's name for it is "bacterial SSU rRNA". It matches the Rfam family "Bacterial small subunit ribosomal RNA", at positions 1 to 389 of the family's 1533-position model. Lineage: Bacteria; Bacillati; Bacillota; Clostridia; Peptostreptococcales; Peptostreptococcaceae. The record is from RNAcentral.